Molecule: ribosomal RNA, 253 nt
Filed under: uncultured bacterium
Lineage: Bacteria
Description: partial 16S ribosomal RNA
Rfam family: Bacterial small subunit ribosomal RNA
Source: RNAcentral
UACAGAGGGUGCAAGCGUUGUCCGGAAUCACUGGGCGUAAAGCGUCUGCAGGUGGUUUCCUAAGUCCACUGUUAAACCUUGAGGCUCAACCUCAAAUCUGCAUUGGAAACUAGGAGACUUGAGUAUAGUAGGGGUAGAGGGAAUUUCCAGUGGAGCGGUGAAAUGCGUAGAUAUCGGAAAGAACACCAACGGCGAAAGCACUCUGCUGGGCCGACACUGACACUGAGAGACGAAAGCUAGGGGAGCGAAUGGG